CCAUUUUGGCUCAAGGCUUUUCUCCAGCCUUGCUCGAGUCUCAUGCAAUGGUAAUUUGGCAUU
RNAcentral lists this non-coding RNA (63 nucleotides) under Alexandrium minutum. Lineage: Eukaryota; Dinophyceae; Gonyaulacales; Pyrocystaceae. The record is from RNAcentral.